CUGCCCCGCCCGCGUGCGCGCGCCGCUCCGCCUCCCGCCUCCAGCCUCUAGUCCGCUGGGUUCGGAGGAGCAGAGGCGGAAGGUCCCGGCGGCGGCGAGGAUGCGCCCCAGGGCGGGAGCGGGACGCUCCACUUUACCCUGGCUGCCCGCAACGGGCCAGGCCUGCCGUCUCUACCUCUCUACCUGUGAGUUUUUUCCCUGCAUUUACUUCAGUCUGCCGCGUCUUCUCCCCGCCCUUCUCUGUAAGGUUGUAUCCACGAGUACCAGCAGAGUGCCUGACACAUAGUAGACAUAAAUCAGGCUGAAGAAUGACCAUGAUGGAGAAUUGAGAAACAAGACCAUCUGCAUCAACAGGAAUUUGGUAGCUGAUCUAGGAAUGCAGCCUGAAGAAAUCAGCACCUCCUAGAUACAGAAUGAACAGAAGGGCUCAGAAGAAAUAUGAGGACAAAUAGGUAUGCUAGACUGAGGCAGAAGAGGCUUGAAUAUUGACUUCAUCUUUUAAGAUAACUCCCCAGAUGAGAAACCUGACGCUCAGAGAGAUGAAGUUAAUUGCCAAGGUUACCCAACCACAGGCAAACACACAAG
RNAcentral lists this long non-coding RNA (585 nucleotides) under Homo sapiens (human). Its description in RNAcentral is "HSALNT0335864". Lineage: Eukaryota; Metazoa; Chordata; Mammalia; Primates; Hominidae. The record is from RNAcentral.